AGAGUUUGAUCAUGGCUCAGAACGAACGCUGGCGGCAGGCUUAACACAUGCAAGUCGAACGGUUGUAGCAAUACAGCAGUGGCAGACGGGUGAGUAACACGUGGGAACCUUCCUAGGGGUACGGAACAACUCAGGGAAACUUGAGCUAAUACCGUAUACGUCCGUGAGGAGAAAGAUUUAUCGCCCCUAGACGGGCCCGCGUAGGAUUAGGUAGUUGGUGAGGUAACGGCUCACCAAGCCUACGAUCCUUAGCUGAUCUGAGAGGAUGAUCAGCCACACUGGGACUGAGACACGGCCCAGACUCCUACGGGAGGCAGCAGUGGGGAAUCUUGGACAAUGGGCGCAAGCCUGAUCCAGCCAUGCCGCGUGAGUGAAGAAGGCCUUCGGGUUGUAAAGCUCUUUUACCAGGGACGAUAAUGACGGUACCUGAGAAUAGCC
This 438-nucleotide ribosomal RNA is filed under the name uncultured Fulvimarina sp. RNAcentral describes it as "bacterial SSU rRNA". It matches the Rfam family "Bacterial small subunit ribosomal RNA", at positions 8 to 492 of the family's 1533-position model. Lineage: Bacteria; Pseudomonadati; Pseudomonadota; Alphaproteobacteria; Hyphomicrobiales; Aurantimonadaceae. The record is from RNAcentral.